Molecule: ribosomal RNA, 473 nt
Filed under: Octotoma scabripennis (lantana leaf beetle)
Lineage: Eukaryota; Metazoa; Arthropoda; Insecta; Coleoptera; Chrysomelidae
Description: partial 16S ribosomal RNA
Source: RNAcentral
GUCCUCUUGAUAUUUUUUGAGGUCUCGCCUGCCCAAUGAAUAUUAAAUGGCCGCAGUAUUUUGACUGUGCUAAGGUAGCAUAAUCAUUAGUUUCUUAAUUAGAAGCUUGAAUGAAGGGUUGGAUGAAAAAUUAGUUGUCUCUUUUUUAUUAUUAAAAAUUUAUUUUUAAGUUAAAAAGCUUAAAUUUUUUUUAGGGACGAGAAGACCCUAUAGAGUUUUAUAAAAAAUUUAUUUGUAUUUUUUAGUAAAGAAUUUUAUUAAUAUAUUUUUUAUUUUAUUGGGGUGAUAGAUUAAUUAAAUAAACUUAUUUUUUAUAUUAUCAUAGAUUAGUGUUUAUAUGAUCCAAUAAUUUGAUUAUAAGAUUAAAUUACCUUAGGGAUAACAGCGUUAUUUUUUUUAGAGUUCUUAUCGAAAAAGAAGAUUGCGACCUCGAUGUUGGAUUAGAAUAAAUUGUUGGUGUAGUCGUUAAUUAA